RNAcentral lists this ribosomal RNA (273 nucleotides) under uncultured archaeon. Its description in RNAcentral is "partial 16S ribosomal RNA". It matches the Rfam family "Archaeal small subunit ribosomal RNA", at positions 718 to 982 of the family's 1478-position model. The record is from RNAcentral.
AGUCACUGACAUUAGACUACCCCCGUAGUCCAGGGUGUAAACGCUGCAGACUUGGUGUUGGAAGUCCGUUUGGGGGCAUUCAGUGCCGGAGAGAAGUUGUUAAGUCUGCUACGUUGGGGAGUACGUCCGCAAAGGAUAGAAAACUUAAAGGAAUUGGGCGGGGGAGCACCGCAACAGGGGGGAGCGUGCGGUUUAAUUGGAUUCAACACCGUAAAACUCACCAGGGAAGACUGUUACAUGAAAGCCGAGAUGAAGACUCUGCUAGAUUUUCAG